GAUCCAACAAAGCCAUACGCUAAUGCCGACGGGGGUCGAACCCACAACAUUAUGUUCCGAAG
This 62-nucleotide transfer RNA is filed under the name Ditylum brightwellii. The record is from RNAcentral. Lineage: Eukaryota; Bacillariophyta; Thalassiosirophyceae; Lithodesmiales; Lithodesmiaceae.